AUUGAACGCUGGCGGCAGGCCUAACACAUGCAAGUCGAAUGGUAACAGGAAACAGCUUGCUGUUUCGCUGACGAGUGGCGGACGGGUGAGUAAUGUCUGGGAAACUGCCUGAUGGAGGGGGAUAACUACUGGAAACGGUAGCUAAUACCGCAUAACGUUGCAAGACCAAAGAGGGGGACCUUCGGGCCUCUUGCCAUCAGAUGCGCCCAGAUGGGAUUAGCUAGUAGGUGGGGUAACGGCUCACCAGGGCGACGAUCCCUAGCUGGUCUGAGAGGUUGACCGGCAACACUGAAACUAGGACACGGUCCAGACUCCAACGGAAGGCAGCAGUGGGGAAUAUUGCACAAUGGGCGCAAGCCUGAUGCAGCCCUGCCGCGUGUAUGAAGAAGGCCUUCGGGUUGUAAAGUACUUUCAGCGGGGAGAAAGGGAGUAAAGUUAAUACCGUUGCUCAUUGACGUUACCCGCAGGAGAAGCACCGGCUAACUCCGU
This 489-nucleotide ribosomal RNA is filed under the name uncultured bacterium. RNAcentral's name for it is "partial 16S ribosomal RNA". It matches the Rfam family "Bacterial small subunit ribosomal RNA", at positions 30 to 506 of the family's 1533-position model. The record is from RNAcentral.